Molecule: long non-coding RNA, 173 nt
Organism: Phyllostomus discolor (pale spear-nosed bat)
Lineage: Eukaryota; Metazoa; Chordata; Mammalia; Chiroptera; Phyllostomidae
Exons: 2
Source: RefSeq, a predicted model, not a curated record
GUAAAAAACCCACUGCCAUUUUGAAUUAAAAUUUAAGAAUUAAGACUACAGCUGCACUUAGACCAAAUCAUUAGCCAGGCUAAGAGAGACACAAACAGAUGAACUGCUCCCAAAACCAAACCCACAAUGAGACCAAUCUCAUUUUAAAUUGUCAGUUCAAAGCAACCCAGAGA